RNAcentral lists this long non-coding RNA (248 nucleotides) under Lathyrus oleraceus (garden pea). Its description in RNAcentral is "Pisum sativum (pea) long non-coding RNA (PSAT_LNC028981)". The record is from RNAcentral. Lineage: Eukaryota; Viridiplantae; Streptophyta; Magnoliopsida; Fabales; Fabaceae.
AUAAGUUAGCAUUGAUUAGAGGGAUUUAUCCUUCCUUGAUUCAAAUCUAAUUCAUCUUGAUCAAUUGAUCAAGUGGAUGGCUUUGCAUUAAGGAUAGGUUGUCUUGUAAUUCAUGCAUAAGGCUUAAACCAAUACAAGAUCAAUUCUCUUCUCCUUUUUGGCAUGGCAAGUUGUUGGGACUUGGUUCACUAAUCAAGACUCCUAACUUGUGUUUGUUGCCUACAUUAUUAUUGAUCGGCCUCAGAUAG